CAGUAGCCGCGGGAAUACGUAGGUGGCAAGCGUUGUCCGGAAUUAUCGGGCGUAAAGGGCUCGCAGGCGGUUUCUUAAGUCUGAUGUGAAAGCCCCCGGCUCAACCGGGGAGGGUCAUUGGAAACUGGGAAACUUGAGUGCAGAAGAGGAGAGUGGAAUUCCACGUGUAGCGGUGAAAUGCGUAGAGAUGUGGAGGAACACCAGUGGCGAAGGCGACUCUCUGGUCUGUAACUGACGCUGAGGAGCGAAAGCGUGGGGAGCGAACAGGAUUAGAUACCCCCGUAGUCCCUGUCUCUUAUAA
RNAcentral lists this ribosomal RNA (301 nucleotides) under uncultured bacterium. RNAcentral describes it as "partial 16S ribosomal RNA". It matches the Rfam family "Bacterial small subunit ribosomal RNA", at positions 509 to 809 of the family's 1533-position model. The record is from RNAcentral.